CUCAAAGGAAUUGACGGGGACCCGCACAAGCGGUGGAUGAUGUGGUUUAAUUCGAUGCAACGCGAAAAACCUUACCCACCUUUGACAUGGCAGGAAGUUUCCAGAGAUGGAUUCGUGCUCGAAAGAGAACCUGCACACAGGUGCUGCAUGGCUGUCGUCAGCUCGUGUCGUGAGAUGUUGGGUUAAGUCCCGCAACGAGCGCAACCCUUGCCAUUAGUUGCUACGAAAGGGCACUCUAAUGGGACUGCCGGUGACAAACCGGAGGAAGGUAGGGAUGACGUCAAGUCCUCAUGGCCCUUAUAGGUGGGGCUACACACGUCAUACAAUGGCCGGUACAAAGGGCAGCCAACCCGCAAGGGGGAGCCAAUCCCAUAAAGCCGGUCGUAGUCCGGAUCGCAGUCUGCAACUCGACUGCGUGAAGUCGGAAUCGCUAGUAAUCGUGGAUCAGCAUGUCACGGUGAAUACGUUCCCGGGUCUUGUACACACCGCCCGUCACACCA
This 500-nucleotide ribosomal RNA is filed under the name uncultured bacterium. Its description in RNAcentral is "bacterial SSU rRNA". It matches the Rfam family "Bacterial small subunit ribosomal RNA", at positions 900 to 1404 of the family's 1533-position model. The record is from RNAcentral.